Tympanuchus pallidicinctus (lesser prairie-chicken) is the source of this 1674-nucleotide long non-coding RNA. RefSeq lists it as uncharacterized. Lineage: Eukaryota; Metazoa; Chordata; Aves; Galliformes; Phasianidae. The transcript is spliced from 7 exons. The record is from RefSeq and is a predicted model, not a curated record.
CAUCAUCCAUGCAGCUGCUCUGCUUCCAAGCACAGUCCUGCCCUGCGGGCAGCAUAGCUGUGUUUGUUUGAGGUGGCACUGGGUGAAUUUGGGUGAAUGUAAUCUGCUGAACUCGUGCUGGCCCUGCAGAGAGCUGCGAAAUCUCCACUGCAGUGUCACAAGUCUUGCAAAGACCACACAAUGAAGUUGCAAACAAAUGAAUCUCAACAGCAAUUCAGAAAAUCUACUUAGGAGUCACAUCUUCACUGGCUUCAUCUUGUUGAUCUUGAUUUUGUCUGGAAUUAGCUACAGAUUAAUCUGGUUUGUACUGUGAAUCUAUGCAGAAUCCUACAAAUCGUGUGAAACUAAGUUUAAUGCCAAGAACUCUCCAGGAGUGAAAAUCUGUCAAUAUUCCAAUAGAGAAGAUGGAGCUGCAGUCGUGUGAUAAAGAUCUUCUAUUCCAGAAGUCUUUAAAAGUACACAAACUUUACCAAGGAUUUCUAUGAGGAUGCGGUGGAUGUCCUUUUCAAGGAUUAUCCUGAUUUCAGGCACAGAGUCCCUUUCCAGAAACAAUACUAAACAUCUUGUUCAUCUGCUUUGCACAGAAGGGGGAAGAAGUCUUUAUGGCAAAGACAAACUGCAGACUCAACUCUUUGUGUGGAUGUGUGUGUGCGCGUUAAAAUCUGCUGAAAAGCUAUUUAUGGAUUUGGGGGAGAAUGCAUUCAUUCCAUUUUUAUGGAGUUAAUGAAAUCUUAGCUUUUUCUUUCUUUAAAUACAAAGUUCUGUGGGAAAAAAAAAAAAAAAAAGGACUAAGUAGGAAUGAUAAGUAAACAACAGAAGUAAAAAGGCUUCUUUUAGUUUUGGGGAGUUGUUCUAUUAUUGCAUUUUAAAUAUCAUAAUAAUCUUCUUUCAUUUCCUCUGUGAACACUUCCCCAAUUUUCAUGUGCUGUUAUGUUUUAAAGCUUUUUGACCAGCAAAUGAAAGUCUUCUGAUGUCAUUCAUGCUUUGAAUACUUUGUUGGCUCAGAGUCUUGGUAUCUGAACUGUCACCAGCUGUAGGAGUGCAUUUCUGAGUGCCUUACACUUUUGGAAUGGACUGUAAAACUGUGAACCACAGAAAAACUCCAUCCAUUCUAUGUUGGACUGAGGAUUAAUGUUUUCAAAUUUCUUCUAGUACAUGAUCUAUAAAGCUUAGUAUUAUUUCCAUGGUUGUUCACACAUUGGCUAAACCAGCAAUCUCAGCAUCCUAAGCAGGGAAGCUGCAAAUUUGGGCAGGCAUUUUGGCUACUUGUUAUCAUUAUUUCAUAGGUAGAAUCGUCCUAUUUAUUGACUAGUAAAACAGCAAAUAUUCUUCAGUGAAAAAGCUUAAAGAGAUUUACCUUUGCUGUUGUCCUUUACAUGAUCCUAACGUUAAGACAGACCUCACAAGUUAAAACUAGCACAUAAAGUACAGUAAGAAUUUCCUGGGUUCCACCCUGCUGUUCUGUAUCCUUGUCCAUACCUCUAAUCAUUUAAAUUGAGCUUAGCUCUAUAAAGCUAAACCCCGUGUAUAUUUGAAUUUGAUAAUAUUGUAUUUCUUUUACAAAAAUCCAGUACAUUUCAAGCAAUUAUUUUAGAAGCAAGCAUAGGAAACUUUUGAUUAUGUAUGAGCAUAUGUUGCUGUAGCUUCCUUUUUUAAAGAAAUAAUUGAACAUUA